AACAAAAGAUUUAACUUUACUGAAAGCAAUAAAAAAGAGAAAAGAGUAACAACAAGUCUUGAGCUUUCAAAACUCUCUCAAUGAUUUUCUUACUUUGAAUAAUGUAAAAUGCUAGUCUACAGAUAAGAAACUGAUCUGGUUAUUAUACAUAGGACUUAACCAAACUUACUAAAAUUAGUAAACCUAGGACUAAUAACUGAAUAAACAACCUUGUAUUUUAUAUAAAAAUAAAGUCUUCUUGAAUUGAGUGUUGUCAUCUUGAUCAUUUGAAACUAACUUGUAUAUUAGGUGUCAGAUUUGGACACUGAUUUUGUUUCCUUUGCUCUGUGUGCAGGUUUGAUGGAGAUGGGUAUAUAUAUUGACUUCAUUAUUCUAAAAACUUAUUUAAUGAGUAUAUAUAUUGACGUCUUCAACAAGAAGAAUACUUUUGAGCUCCCAAAUUCAUGAAGAUUGGAGACCUGAAAGGGAAUUUUGGAUUACUCGUGGUGAUCAUGCAAAUUCUGAGAGCAAAGCUCAAAGUAUUAGAUCUUUCGUAUGGAAAUGGAACAGGUAUAAUUAAGCACAACUCUACUACACAUCUGGUACUGAAAUAUCUGUCUUCAUGUGAAUGUAAUUUUAGAAAUUAGUCAAUCCUAAAUGUAGAAUAUAAAUAAGGAUUGGUAAAAUAAAGUGAAGCCUAAGAAUGCAAACUUCACGCCAUUGAAGUUUGGUACACUCAAUCUCUAUUAACAAUUUUAUUAUUUUUAAGUGAGUUAUGUCGGCAAGGAUAGGAAUGUCC
This is a long non-coding RNA of Humulus lupulus (European hop), 778 nucleotides long. RefSeq lists it as uncharacterized. Lineage: Eukaryota; Viridiplantae; Streptophyta; Magnoliopsida; Rosales; Cannabaceae. The transcript is spliced from 2 exons. The record is from RefSeq and is a predicted model, not a curated record.